GAGAAAGAAGUGAUGAGUGACAUCAACCAGCAGAGAUGAGGAUUUUAGGUGAAGACCAAGGGCUUGGCAAUGUGGAAUGGGUUCAAGAGAAAGGGGAAACUGUAGCAGAUGAAUACAAAAAACCCUUAGAGAAGUUUAUAUAAACGGGAGAAAAAAAUGAGGGAAAUGGGGGAGAGAUUCUUCUUAGGAUGGGAAAAAUUACAGCAGAUUCAGCAACUGAUGAGAAUAAUCCAAUAGAAAGGGUAAAACGGAUGAUUUAAGAAAGGGGGGGGUGAGGUAAGAGAAUUGUUGGAGCAACGUAUGCAAAAGGGAGAGGAGUAUAUGCAGACCUGAGGGGGGCUGGCAUGUGGAGAAGGGCAGUUCACCCACAGUACCUAAAGAAAGGCGAACUAUGGGGGCAGACAGAGGCAGCAGGGUGGAGAGGAAAGCGGGAAUUCCUGGAAACACAGGAAGCUGAGAAUGAGGAUGAGGGAGGACCAGUGGAGACUGAGGGAGAGCAAAAGGCAUAAGCCAGCUGACGAGCGGAAGGGUCAAAUGGACCAGAACAAUGGCACUAAAUCCCUACACAAGAUAAUUGGAUGUGCAGGGUGGCUCACACUGACCACAUCUGUAUUUUGAAGCUGAGUCAGAACACCUUACCGAGUGGUUCCGUGUGGCAGUCCAGCUCAUGGCACAGAGGUCCUGAAGAGCCACGAUAAACCACCUCUGCCGCCCCACCCUGAGGAAGGAAAUCUCAGCCCCACACCAGCAGCAUGACAUCACUGCGAAGUGAGACUCCAAAAGCACCCUUCCACUACACUCUUCAGUGGACAAGGACCUGAACUCUCCAGAGCCACGUUACUGCCUGCACCCUUCUAGGAUUACUUUCCUUUUUUCCUAGAUUUGGUCCCCAGCACUUGAUGAGUAUCAGUCACCUCAGCUCAUCUCAGGCUCUGGAAAUACAGAGAGAGCACUGCCUGGCAUGGAGGAACACGUGGAUCAAAACCCAACUCACUCUGAAUGUACCAGUUCCCUCUUCUUUUCUUGGAGGAAAUUUGACAAUUCAGAAACAUUGUUUUAUCAGUGGUAAUUCUCAGCUAGGAAGCAGAAAAGACCAGUGACAUUUCCACAAAGUCCUUCCAUCAUGCUGGCUGAGAUUCAGCUCAAGUAAGUUCUUCUGGGCAUGGCAGGGAGAAGAAUAAUUUUACACACAGAAAACAGAUAUAAUGGACAGUGAAUUACACAGAUGGCUAGAGUUUCAUAAGUAUGUCAAAUCCAGACAACCCCAUCUGGCGAGAGCACGUUUCCCUCACUUCAGAAAAUCCCCUCAUGCUCCUUCCCAGUCAACCCCCAGCCUCCUGCGACAACCACUGUUCAUGCCUUCAUUACCAGCCAGCGAUACAGAGAAGGUCAGCUCUGCGGAACUUCACAGACCCACAGAGUAUGCAGGCUUUGUCUGGCUUCCUUCACUCACUGCAUUCUGAGAUCCAUCCACACUGUUGUGUGUACUGGGGGGGUCAUUCAAUUACCAGGCAGUUUAGUCAUCCUCCCACUGACAGACAUUUCAGUAGGUUCUAGUACUUGGCUAUUAUCAAUAAAGCUGCUACAAGCACUCUUUCACAAGUCGUGUGGGCAUAUAUUCUAAGAUAAAUACCUAGGGUUAUAGGGUUAUAGGUAUGUUUAACUUUAUAAAAAACUGUCAAAGCGUUUCCCAAAGCGGCUGCACCAUCCACGCUCCCACCAGCAAUGGACGAGACCCCCAGCUGCUCCACAUCCUCACCGAAAGCUGACAGUCGUCUUAAUCCCAACAAACCUAAUGAGUCUGCAGAGGUAUCUCAUUAUGGUUUUACUAGUUUAUAACAGUUUUACUGAGACAUAAUCAAACAAAGCAUACAAUUCAUUCAUUUAAACUAUAUAGUUUUAUCAAUUUUGGUAUAUUACAUUAACUUCUUAAUUGUGGUAA
Long non-coding RNA from Odocoileus virginianus texanus, 1942 nucleotides. RefSeq lists it as uncharacterized. The record is from RefSeq and is a predicted model, not a curated record. NCBI's taxonomy places the organism in Eukaryota, Metazoa, Chordata, Mammalia, Artiodactyla, Cervidae.